Molecule: ribosomal RNA, 1454 nt
Filed under: Bacillus pumilus
Lineage: Bacteria; Bacillati; Bacillota; Bacilli; Caryophanales; Bacillaceae
Description: bacterial SSU rRNA
Rfam family: Bacterial small subunit ribosomal RNA
Source: RNAcentral
AUACAUGCAAGUCGAGCGGACAGAAGGGAGCUUGCUCCCGGAUGUUAGCGGCGGACGGGUGAGUAACACGUGGGUAACCUGCCUGUAAGACUGGGAUAACUCCGGGAAACCGGAGCUAAUACCGGAUAGUUCCUUGAACCGCAUGGUUCAAGGAUGAAAGACGGUUUCGGCUGUCACUUACAGAUGGACCCGCGGCGCAUUAGCUAGUUGGUGGGGUAAUGGCUCACCAAGGCGACGAUGCGUAGCCGACCUGAGAGGGUGAUCGGCCACACUGGGACUGAGACACGGCCCAGACUCCUACGGGAGGCAGCAGUAGGGAAUCUUCCGCAAUGGACGAAAGUCUGACGGAGCAACGCCGCGUGAGUGAUGAAGGUUUUCGGAUCGUAAAGCUCUGUUGUUAGGGAAGAACAAGUGCGAGAGUAACUGCUCGCACCUUGACGGUACCUAACCAGAAAGCCACGGCUAACUACGUGCCAGCAGCCGCGGUAAUACGUAGGUGGCAAGCGUUGUCCGGAAUUAUUGGGCGUAAAGGGCUCGCAGGCGGUUUCUUAAGUCUGAUGUGAAAGCCCCCGGCUCAACCGGGGAGGGUCAUUGGAAACUGGGAAACUUGAGUGCAGAAGAGGAGAGUGGAAUUCCACGUGUAGCGGUGAAAUGCGUAGAGAUGUGGAGGAACACCAGUGGCGAAGGCGACUCUCUGGUCUGUAACUGACGCUGAGGAGCGAAAGCGUGGGGAGCGAACAGGAUUAGAUACCCUGGUAGUCCACGCCGUAAACGAUGAGUGCUAAGUGUUAGGGGGUUUCCGCCCCUUAGUGCUGCAGCUAACGCAUUAAGCACUCCGCCUGGGGAGUACGGUCGCAAGACUGAAACUCAAAGGAAUUGACCGGGGGCCCGCACAAGCGGUGGAGCAUGUGGUUUAAUUCGAAGCAACGCGAAGAACCUUACCAGGUCUUGACAUCCUCUGACAACCCUAGAGAUAGGGCUUUCCCUUCGGGGACAGAGUGACAGGUGGUGCAUGGUUGUCGUCAGCUCGUGUCGUGAGAUGUUGGGUUAAGUCCCGCAACGAGCGCAACCCUUGAUCUUAGUUGCCAGCAUUCAGUUGGGCACUCUAAGGUGACUGCCGGUGACAAACCGGAGGAAGGUGGGGAUGACGUCAAAUCAUCAUGCCCCUUAUGACCUGGGCUACACACGUGCUACAAUGGACAGAACAAAGGGCUGCAAGACCGCAAGGUUUAGCCAAUCCCAUAAAUCUGUUCUCAGUUCGGAUCGCAGUCUGCAACUCGACUGCGUGAAGCUGGAAUCGCUAGUAAUCGCGGAUCAGCAUGCCGCGGUGAAUACGUUCCCGGGCCUUGUACACACCGCCCGUCACACCACGAGAGUUUGCAACACCCGAAGUCGGUGAGGUAACCUUUAUGGAGCCAGCCGCCGAAGGUGGGGCAGAUGAUUGGGGUGAAGUC